This is a long non-coding RNA of Acanthopagrus latus (yellowfin seabream), 972 nucleotides long. RefSeq lists it as uncharacterized. The record is from RefSeq and is a predicted model, not a curated record. The transcript has 2 exons. Lineage: Eukaryota; Metazoa; Chordata; Actinopteri; Spariformes; Sparidae.
UAGGAGAUGGCAAAAGGCGGUAGUCAGCUUCUCUCCCUGUAGGCAGUGCCCAUGGCAGCCAGUGAGGCUGUGAAGCAGGACAAAGACGACAGGCGGCGGCACGUGUGAGCAGCCACCCCGUCACCACAAUGAAGCUUUUCCCUGUAAUCCUGGACACACCAGCCCUUGUUUAUCGUAGCACACAGUAUGGACAUUGGACUGGACUGCUGCUGGAAUAAGUAAACAUAACAAAGGAUGACAUGAAAACAGAUGGCGACUCUUGGCUGCAGUAAAUGUUCCUCUUUGACAGUCACUAUUGUUUUCUAGACUAUAUUUAUGAUGAAUCUGGCCCUCUCUGAGCAGACAUCAGUGGCUGUGGAAGUGAGCCCUCUCAUGGCCAAACCACCGCAAGCAUUUUCAUGAUGGUAAAGGAAACAAGAAAUGAUUGCUGGGUUAUUCCUGAACUGUUGGGAGGUCAACAAAUGCAACUUGAAACUAUGCUUAUAUGUAUUAUCUUAGUCUCUAUACAGGCAAUGACCCAAGACAGAAAAUACUGAACAAAUAUUUAGUUCCUCAUUGUUUGAAGUUGGUUUAGAUGUUGUUUGAAUGCAUCAGUGGAAAGAUACUGGAGCUCCCACACAAGUAUUCAAAACAACUAUGCAUAUGGUGAAUUACACAAGACUGUAUGUCAAAGUGCAGGUUGAUAUUGCAGGAGUUUUAGUCAUGAGCAAAUAGCACACAUCAUUCUUACAAUAUUUCAGCGGCGCUGUCAAAUUAAUUUGCAUAAGAUUUAAGGAUGUGUUGUAAGAUUUAUGAAAAGCCAGUUCCGGUUCUGCAGCUUCUCAGAAAAAAAGGAUCCCUUGAAGGAUAAAGUGUUUGUACUUUCAUGCUGCAACCAGUGACAAGUCUGCUACUGUAAAGGUUUGGACUUCCGGUUAUGACUUGAGAAAAUAAAACUUGUGGGCUGAGCAUUUAAUAAUUCAGGAAUGUGCA